Molecule: transfer RNA, 72 nt
Filed under: Camelus bactrianus (Bactrian camel)
Lineage: Eukaryota; Metazoa; Chordata; Mammalia; Artiodactyla; Camelidae
Also listed under: 2 other names
Rfam family: tRNA
About the family: Transfer RNA (tRNA) molecules are approximately 80 nucleotides in length. Their secondary structure includes four short double-helical elements and three loops (D, anti-codon, and T loops).
Source: Rfam by way of RNAcentral
GAGGGUAUAGUUCAGUGGUAGAGUGCAUGCCUAGCAAGUACAAGGUCCUGGGUUCUGUCCCCAGUAUCUCCA